RNAcentral lists this transfer RNA (71 nucleotides) under Loxodonta africana (African savanna elephant). It matches the Rfam family "tRNA". Rfam says of the family: Transfer RNA (tRNA) molecules are approximately 80 nucleotides in length. The record is from Rfam by way of RNAcentral. Lineage: Eukaryota; Metazoa; Chordata; Mammalia; Proboscidea; Elephantidae.
GCAGUGAUAGUUCAGUGGUAGAAUUCUCUCUUCUAUAAGGGAGACCCGGGUUCAAUUCCCUGGCCAAUGCA